UACCAGACUCCUACGGGAGGCAGCAGUGGGGAAUAUUGCACAAUGGGGGAAACCCUGAUGCAGCGACGCCGCGUGAGCGAAGAAGUACCUCGGUAUGUAAAGCUCUAUCAGCAGGGAAGAAGAUGACGGUACCUGACUAAGAAGCCCCGGCUAACUACGUGCCAGCAGCCGCGGUAAUACGUAGGGGGCAAGCGUUAUCCGGAUUUACUGGGUGUAAAGGGAGCGUAGACGGCAAUGCAAGUCUGGAGUGAAAGGCGGGGGCCCAACCCCCGGACUGCUCUGGAAACUGUAUAGCUGGAGUGCAGGAGAGGUAAGUGGAAUUCCUAGUGUAGCGGCGAAAUGCGUAGAUAUUAGGAGGAACACCAGUGGCGAAGGCGGCCUGCUGGGCUUUUACUGACGCUGAGGCUCGAAAGUGUGGGGAGCAAACAGGAUUAGAUACCCCCGUA
RNAcentral lists this ribosomal RNA (446 nucleotides) under uncultured bacterium. Its description in RNAcentral is "partial 16S ribosomal RNA". It matches the Rfam family "Bacterial small subunit ribosomal RNA", at positions 329 to 792 of the family's 1533-position model. The record is from RNAcentral.